AUCCUCAAGCGGACAGCCAGCCAUUCGCUUGAGAUUUUUCUCUGCGUCGUUGAAAUAUCUCACACGCGUUCGUCCUCCAGCCCAGCCGUUCCUAUCCAGCCGUUCCUAUCCGGUGAAUUCCCAGCCGCUUGUGCCAUCUCCAGCACGCAGCCUUGGACAUCGCUUCGUCUCCUUAGCUGCUCGCCGGCGCUCCUCUGCAGGCCGCGCCCAGCUUAUCUCCCUCGACGCUCGCGGCUCUCUCUCUCUCUCUCCCCCCUGGUCCCUGCCAUGGCCGCCGCGCUGCAGCUCUCUGGUGCUCGGUCGCCCAAUCUCCCUGCUCGGCGCCCGACUGCAGCUCGCCGGAGCUUCCUACCGAGUCCCUAUGGUGCGCCCUCCCAUGCCGGCGCGCGUGCUACCUCCCUGCUCUCUCUCUGCCGCAGUCCAGCUUGGAGUUUCUCUCUCAGCUCGCCCGAUGGUGCUCGGCCGAGCUCCCUGGCGCGCACGUCCCGGUCGCAGCUCGGAUCUUCAUGACCACAGCACCCUCCAUGGACGCGAGCUCCAAGCUCCUGCUCGUCCAGCCCCUUUCCAGACGCCCCUGCAGAGUCCCUAGCCAACUCGCGCCCAGCCCCAUGUCCCUGGAUUGCUCGUGGGUGUGGCCGGAGUCGCUCACCUCGAUCUCUCUCGCUCUUCGUCUAUCGGAUUUCGCGCGUGCUCGCAUUUGCUGUUGAGUCGUCGAACCCGUCAUCCCCUGCUCAACCCCACCUCACCAGCUCGCUCCAAACACGAUCUCGUCAUCGUUUCGUGUGUCGUCAAGAAAUCCCAAGCGUCGGAUGAAGACGUAGCCAACAGCGCGAUAUUCCCCAAGCGCUCGACAAAUUGCCUGGAUCGGAAAAUCGCUACCGAUCUCGCAGAUUCGUGUCAGCUGCUGAAGCGGAACGUUAAUCAAUCGCGCGAUGCGGAAGACAAGCCAAGUCGACCCCAAGCGCGGGCUACUCCGCAGGAUGAUGCUGAUGGACAAGCCUGAAGAUACUCGUCAAGUGGACGUCACCUAACAACACUAACCUAGUGUUACUCAGGCAAGCCCCGGUGCAUGCAACCCCUUCCUUGUGUUUUUAAAUAAUUUUUGCACACUUUAAGUCUAGUGAAAUGUGCAUUAGGUUUAUAGGAGUUGCUUGAAACCCUUUGAUGCAUUGCCUUCCUUGAUAUCCAUACCUAUAUAGAUACUUCUGGUGAAGUAUCAAAAUAUGAUUUACAAAAAUGCUUAGCCCUGCUUAGAUCUUGUGGUUAGAGGUUGUCUUUUGCGAUACUGCCUAGCUCAGGGGUUAUCCUGAGGAAAGAUGGCUUCUACCUGCAAGAAUAUUUUCAUUGAGAGCGUGGUGGGAUCUUACUGCAAAGUUCCCUGUGAUGCUCUUUUCAUCCUAAGGAACACAAACAAUCCUAAGGGUGGAAAUACUUAAAUCGGGACUUGGGCUAGGAACAGGUGAUGUUCUACCCAGGUUGAUUAAGGAUUGGAUGCGUAUGUUGGCCUGCUGACCGAGGACCCUUUAACUGGUCACAUGCCUCGUCAUGGGUAAGCUUUGCCUCGGGUAGACUAAGGCCAGAAUAAGAUAACACGAAAUGGGCGUGGAGCGGUGGCGAGAGUAGCGUGUACCCUCCGUGGCAAGAGGCUGGACGGUGGUGUAUCUGUGCUCUCGGUUUGCGUGAACCUGAUCUGGUCUUAAGAACCCCGGUGGCGAGUUGACAUAUGCAAGGGUUAAGUGCUACAUAUGUCGUGUGAUUGGAGAUCCUCAGCUGAGUAUAAUCGAUUCGGAUCGCCGUACCUUCGCGGUUAUGAAGACUUGGUCACUGACCUGCAACCUAAGUCAGGAUGUGAACAUUAUGAAUAAAAAUGAUGUUGUAUUGAUGAGAUGGUGAAAGUAGACCAUAUGCAAACAAAGUCUAUUAAUACUUAAUCUGGCAUUAAAAUAUUGAAAGUAAGGACUCACUUUAGUAAGCUAUUUCUGCAAAAGUAUCUAAGUUGAUUCUUGCUAAAGCCUCUCCUUGAUUCCCAAAUCCAGCAUAUCCUUGAGAGUCUUUUCUUUAGUCGGGUAAGUCUUGCUGAGUAAUUCCAUACUCAGGGUUUUAUUCCCUGUUGUUUUUCAGGUUUUAACUUUGUGCUGUUGUUGAUGGUGUUAAGUGCCGGUGGGCUCGGCCUUCUUAUAAGUCUAAGUAACUCUUCUAUACUUCUUAUUGAGGAUGAUCACUUAAGCUAGCAUAUAUUUCAAACUUAUACUUUUGUAAUCACUCCGAUAAAAUAAUGUAAAAUUUUUGUAACCUAUAAAAUUUGGUAAUAAGAUUUCCGCUGCAAAAA
This is a long non-coding RNA of Zea mays, 2329 nucleotides long. RefSeq lists it as uncharacterized. NCBI's taxonomy places the organism in Eukaryota, Viridiplantae, Streptophyta, Magnoliopsida, Poales, Poaceae. The record is from RefSeq and is a predicted model, not a curated record. The transcript has 2 exons.